Phacochoerus africanus (Common warthog) is the source of this 343-nucleotide long non-coding RNA. RefSeq lists it as uncharacterized. NCBI's taxonomy places the organism in Eukaryota, Metazoa, Chordata, Mammalia, Artiodactyla, Suidae. The record is from RefSeq and is a predicted model, not a curated record. The transcript has 3 exons.
UGUGGAGGGCGGGAGCGUCUCGCGCUGUUGGCGGCGUUAGAUUUUUGUCUCUCUAUCAAGAGCCUUAAGUCUCUGAAUCUUGGGGACAUAAACAAAAUAUUGGGGUCUGUGCCCUACUCCUUCCCCUUCUCUGCUUUGCUCUCUCAGAGUUUUGGAGCCUUGCUAUAUUUGAGUGAAUAAGGAGGAAGUCAUACAAUAACACGACAACGAAGAGAAGCUGGUCAUGGAUUAUCUGACCAUUGAAGUUGAGGGAAAAGCUGUGAACCCUGAGGAUGCUUUCCUGCCCCCAAGACAGAGCACCGUGGAAAUGGAGUCUACUGUAGCGCUUCUUCCUGAGUUCCAG